GGGUGACCCAACCUCCAUUACGCAUCCACAACAACCAUUCACCUUCGACGGAACUAACCCGCCGUGUGUCCCCAUAGCCGACGAUGACAGUCGCGCCGUUCGGUCAAGCCACCCUCACCCGCGAUAACAACAUUGUUCAGACCAACCUCCUUCUCCAAACCAAAGGCCGUCAUGCAGCGCUACACCAUCAUCAACAUCCCUACAGCUCAUUGCGCCUCCUAUAGUCGCAGUUAAGACUACUGAGCCUAUCCUUCUCCUUUGCCGCCGCCAGGGUCAAUAAGCU
This 283-nucleotide long non-coding RNA is filed under the name Vigna radiata. RNAcentral's name for it is "long non-coding RNA (VRAD_LNC000920)". The record is from RNAcentral. Lineage: Eukaryota; Viridiplantae; Streptophyta; Magnoliopsida; Fabales; Fabaceae.